GGUACAUUCAACUGGGUGAGUUUAUGAUACCCAUGUUUAUUCUAAGCUUUGACUUAUCAGUCUUGUCCUUGCUUAUUUUCCAGGUUCAGUUUUGGACCCAGUUCAAGCUCCUUGAAGAACCUACCUGACCUCACCUUCGUUGCCAAGAUUUCCAGUCAAGCUUUGCUGGCAGCCGUUGGACUCCAUAACCUCAGCUUCUGCGAGCGAAACCUGUCCACCCUCCAGUGAGCGGCACCACUGGACCAAAUCACUAAGAAAACAACGAAUCAAAGAUCUGAUCGGUGCAAAGGAUCAGUUAUCAGGGUGACCAGGCUUACCAAACUUACCAGACCCAGAAUAACUCCCCUCCGGCGAACCAGCACCUGCAACAAACUCCGAGAGGUUCCAGUCUCAGAUCCCACCUCCAUCGGACCUGUGAACAGAUAAACACGUUAAACUUCA
Molecule: long non-coding RNA, 441 nt
Organism: Girardinichthys multiradiatus
Lineage: Eukaryota; Metazoa; Chordata; Actinopteri; Cyprinodontiformes; Goodeidae
Exons: 2
Source: RefSeq, a predicted model, not a curated record